Molecule: long non-coding RNA, 1224 nt
Filed under: Marmota monax (woodchuck)
Lineage: Eukaryota; Metazoa; Chordata; Mammalia; Rodentia; Sciuridae
Source: RNAcentral
UUAAUAUUUAAAAAUUCAUCAUAUGGGCACAUUAUUUCAAGGCUUCAACAUCUUUCAAAACCAACUGACUCUUAUCCCCUCCAGACACUUCUAAUGAAGGUCACCAUCUCUAACUUUCCCCAAUACAUAUAUAAUACAAACAGUAUGGUUGCAGAAUUCUAUGGUACUAGAGGUAUAGUAAUUUGCCGGUCUGUUUGUUUUCCAUCCACUAGGCAAGUAUAUCCCUCCUCCCACUCUUUGUUCCUUCCAUCAGUCAUCAGAAUGAAGGGGCUGGAAAACGUUGUUCUGGUUUCCAUUUAGAGCUGAUUGCCCAUUGGAUACUGCCUGGAGGCCUUGGGGAUGAAAGAAGUUCUGCAGUUUGCAACAGUGGCAGAAUCAGGUAACACAUCAGGGAACCGGCCAGCCUAAGACAGGAGGGGACAGAAAAUGACGAUGGUUUCCGAUACAUUCCUCAGCUCAACUGUUCUAGUUAGUGGUCCACAUGCCUCCUAUAAGUGGCCUCUGUGACUUCUAUAAAUGUCCAUUAGUAUCUUAUAGAAAGCCUAGAUUUGAAGAUACAUGUGAGGUAAGGAGGGAAAUAAGAUGCAAACCUAAAGAAUGAACAAGGUAGAAACUCUUGUGUUCUUGCUUUGACCUUGGUUACUGCAUGUCCAUUUUCAUUUAGUGUACAGCUUCUUCCCUGCCCUAACAUUAACUUCAAAGUCUGUAAUGUAUCUCCUCAGUUCUUCUCCCCUACAUGAUGUCUUAUGCUUAAUGUCUUUCCCCUACACGACCUCUUAUGCUUAAUGUCUUUCCAAGUAUGGUGAAAACAAAUCUUCAGGAUUAGGAAAACUAGUACUUAAUAAAUACCAUUCUUCUAAUGGCAAUUCGGUAGACUCCCUUGAACUUCUUACCUUGGCAUCUAGAAACCCUCUCCCCAAUCUAGCAAUCUUUCUCACAGCACCUCCGCAGAGGAGUUUCCCCACGAACAGGAAGUAGAGGCCAAGCAAACACAGUCCAGUUCUUAUUACUGAAGAGUUGAGAUUCAGAAAUAUCGCUUUUCUUGAGGAAAAUGGCUAAUUUUCUCUCUUAAGACAAAAAUCAGAAUUCCUGAUAGUUGCCCAAACUCUUCCCCUAAAAAGAAAAGUUAACAAACUUUUAAAGUCAGAUGAAAAUUUUAACAUUGGAAUAUUUUCCAGAGAAAAAUACCUUAAAGUUUAGAACAAGUAUUUAUGAUCCUUAUAU